This 271-nucleotide ribosomal RNA is filed under the name uncultured bacterium. RNAcentral describes it as "partial 16S ribosomal RNA". It matches the Rfam family "Bacterial small subunit ribosomal RNA", at positions 524 to 794 of the family's 1533-position model. The record is from RNAcentral.
UACGGAGGGUGCGAGCGUUAAUCGGAAUUACUGGGCGUAAAGCGCACGUAGGUGGUUCGUUAAGUCGGAUGUGAAAUCCCUGGGCUCAACCUGGGAACUGCAUUCGAGACUGAAUAGCUAGGGUACGGUAGAGGGAAGUGGAAUUUCCGGUGUAGCGGUGAAAUGCGUAGAUAUCGGAAGGAACAUCAGUGGCGAAAGCGACUUCCUGGACCAGUACCGACGUUCAGGCACGAAAGCGUGGGGAGCAAACAGGAUUAGAUACCCUUGUAGU